AGAAUAAGUGCCUAAGAAGAUAACCACUGUGGCAAGUGCUGGGGAGAAAAUGAACAGGAUACUGGUGUUUUGAGUGGAGCGUCUAUUUGGAGGGUCUUGGGGCCCUGCACACCUUCACAGGCAGUCCAUGCCCAUCUCUUGGGCCUGCAGAUCAUGUUUUAUAUGAACAUCUGCAGCAUCUGAGCAGCCCUCUUCCUAGCCCAAGUCCCCAGCAUGCUAUCUUUGGAAAGAUAAUGAGUAUCUAUAACAGCUCCUGUUUUUUAACACUUACUUUGUGCCAGGCAUUGCACUAAGCAAUUUAUGGUCAUUACAUCAUUUCAUCCACAGAACAAUAAUACUGUUAUGAAGUAAGUGCUUUUUAUCCCCAUUUUACAGACAAGGACAUGGAAACCCAAAAUGCCUGAGCCGUUUGGCCAAGUCACACAGAGAAGCAUGAGAGGUCUGUGUGGGCCCCUCAGGAUUGAUGUUAGGGAGCCUGGGUCCCUGUGGAGAUGGGCUACCUGGUCCAGUAGGAAGACUGAGAAAGAGAUGCACAGACAUGCGGAAACCGAUGGAGAAACUGCCAGAGCCAGAGACUGUGUGAGAGACGAUGCUGCAAUCUGUGUUCUCGGGCCGGAUGUGCCUGCAGCAGAGCUUCCAGGCCCAUGUUCAAAGGAUGACAUAACUCCGGCUCUUGAUCGCCUGUCUGGGAGAAAGAAUCAGGCCUCUCUCCAGCCUCACCCAGGAGUGCCAGGGAGCAGGCUGAGGGCCGGGGGCCGCUGCCUUAGGGGUAGACUCCUAUGGCACCCCAAUCCUAACUGCAAUUACAGAAAUAAGUUACCUUUCUGAGCCCCCACUGUGCCCCCGCGCUGUGCUUUCCACGCACAGGCUCAAGUGAACGGCAUAGCAACCCUAUGAAGAGUAUUAUCAACCCCAUUUUACAGAUGACAGAACUGAGGCUCGGAGAUGUGGGGUCACUUGUCCAGGGCCACCAGUUUGCAAUUGGGAUUUAGCCCAGGUCUGCGAACUCUAAAGCCAGUGGCUGCCAUGUUGCAUAUGUCUGUGGUGUUGUGCCUGACAAGGUCCUAGUUGUACCCCGAGCCCCACCACCAGCUUCAAACCACACUGAGGGCAGGCAGGUGCCUCCAGGGCUCUCAGAGGAGCCUUCCGUAUCUCCAUGGCAACAGGAUCCUGAGCAGCCAGGGCUGAGCUUGCUCUGCUUCUGAGAAGCGGAAGUGGGCUUUGCCUGCAGAGCCCCAGGGGCCCGACUCUGAGCAAGUGUGCCUUGGGGCUCCCCCAGGACCCCCACCCUCACAAAGGCCCCUCCUGCCCCAGACACAGACCGAACACUCCUCCCUCACAGAGCUCUGGUGGAGAAGCCACCCAGCCUCCCUGCCUCCUUCACAUAACUCCCUGCUGUCCAACUGCAUCCCUCUGGCUGCAGCUCCAGUCCUCGUCCUGGGGAAUCCCCCUGCCCCUCCUCCCAUAGCUGACAUCUGGAGGAGGCAAAGAGGGCUCCUUCUCAAGGUGACUAUAAUUCACAGAAACAUCCCCUAUCCCGGAAGGGCAUCUUUGUCUUCCUACUACCCCAUUCAUUCAUUCAUCUUCUCAGUCAUUCAAUGAAUACUCAAGUGCCCACUAUGUGCCAGGCACUAUGUGCUAGGAAAGUGGCCAAGAGCAGCAGGCCUCCUUGUCAGUGUCCCUCCCCUCUCAGUGUAACCUGGGCCCCUCUCCCAGGACCUGUCUCUCCUGACACCAAGGACACAAAAUCGCAAGGAAACUGGGCUCGAGCCUGGCUCCACCAGACCCUGACUCUCUGGGUGGCCCCAGCCAGAAGCUCCCCUCUCCGCCUUUUCCCUUUUGUAAAAUAAGGGAGGAGGCCAGAAUCCGCUCUCUGAGUUCUUGCCAGCCCUGCUUCUCUCAGGUGCAGUAACUCAACCACCACUUCCAUCCACAGCUGUAGUCAGGGCUGCGCACGUGCCUCCCCUCAGGUGGACCCAAUGACUGCCUCCCCGCCCGCUCCCUGCAUUUUUAAAGAAGCGUCUGGGAUGGCUCUGCUGCUAGGGGUGGGUUUUGCCAGAGAAGCUUGGGGGCUGGCGAGGAAAGGACACAGACAUUGGCAGCGUGCCUUCCCUCUCCUCGGUAGCGUUCCUUCUUCAUCUCUGCAGAAGUGGACAUGAUGACCCCCAUUUUACAG
Molecule: long non-coding RNA, 2176 nt
Organism: Myotis davidii
Lineage: Eukaryota; Metazoa; Chordata; Mammalia; Chiroptera; Vespertilionidae
Exons: 3
Source: RefSeq, a predicted model, not a curated record